UACGUAGGGGGCAAGCGUUGUCCGGAUUUAUUGGGCGUAAAGCGCGCGCAGGCGGUCUCUUAAGUCUGAUGUGAAAGCCCACGGCUCAACCGUGGAAGGUCAUUGGAAACUGGGAGACUUGAGUGUAGGAGAGGGAAGUGGAAUUCCACGUGUAGCGGUGAAAUGCGUAGAGAUGUGGAGGAACACCAGUGGCGAAGGCGACUUUCUGGCCUAUAACUGACGCUGAGGCGCGAAAGCGUGGGGAGCAAACAGG
RNAcentral lists this ribosomal RNA (253 nucleotides) under uncultured bacterium. RNAcentral describes it as "partial 16S ribosomal RNA". It matches the Rfam family "Bacterial small subunit ribosomal RNA", at positions 524 to 776 of the family's 1533-position model. The record is from RNAcentral.